Xylariales sp. PMI_506 is the source of this 88-nucleotide non-coding RNA. Lineage: Eukaryota; Fungi; Ascomycota; Sordariomycetes; Xylariales. The record is from the annotation of a GenBank genome assembly.
GGAUCGAUAGCUCAGUGGUAGAGCGAGGGAUUGCAGUGCUUCAAUGCAAGUUAUCCCUAGGUCGCGUGUUCGAUCCACGCUCGGUCCU